CAGUCGCCGCGGUAAAACGGAGGGUGCAAGCGUUAUCCGGAUUUAUUGGGUUUAAAGGGUCCGUAGGCGGAUCUGUAAGUCAGUGGUGAAAUCUCACAGCUUAACUGUGAAACUGCCAUUGAUACUGCAGGUCUUGAGUAAAUUUGAAGUGGCUGGAAUAAGUAGUGUAGCGGUGAAAUGCAUAGAUAUUACUUAGAACACCAAUUGCGAAGGCAGGUCACUAAGAUUUAACUGACGCUGAUGGACGAAAGCGUGGGGAGCGAACAGGAUUAGAUACCCGAGUAGUCCCUGUCUCUUAUAC
RNAcentral lists this ribosomal RNA (301 nucleotides) under uncultured bacterium. RNAcentral's name for it is "partial 16S ribosomal RNA". It matches the Rfam family "Bacterial small subunit ribosomal RNA", at positions 509 to 807 of the family's 1533-position model. The record is from RNAcentral.